AAAAAGGUUUCUAUCGUCAAAUAAGUUUGGGGAACAUCACUUGCUAUAUCCAGAUAUUUGAGAUUCACAACACACAUAUUAAAGCGGGCUCCCGAGGCCCGGGGCGAUGGGCGCCGCCGCUGCAUGGACCCGCGCUGCUGCGCGUCAGGCUCCUGUUAGACUUGUGCCUGCUCUGGCGGGGAGGAAACUGCUCUCUGGAAGUACGCUCGUGACCUGUGCAAAAUGAAUUCACUUUUCCACGGCACCAGAGGACCAUUAGUAAAUUCAUUGCCCAGAAUACCCCGCUGGUGUCCUGGAGGAUGGAAUUGGUGUCACAUGGAUGCAGUGGUGACAGCGGACCUGCUCCACUGUGCCUUCCAGUUGC
Molecule: long non-coding RNA, 364 nt
Filed under: Equus asinus (donkey)
Lineage: Eukaryota; Metazoa; Chordata; Mammalia; Perissodactyla; Equidae
Description: lncRNA (ENSEASG00005029921.1)
Source: RNAcentral